UCACUUUAAGGGAGUUGGCAAUAUUUCUCUUGAAAAUACUCCUCUCCUUCAACGAAUUUCGUCGCAUCCCAACAGCUUAUUAGCCCCCCCCCCCUUCAUUCGGAAACUAGGGGCGUAGGGUUGAGUUCAAAGACUAUGGUAAGAAUAUGGAAUCAGCCUGUGAAAUAUUGUAUUUAAAAUACACUUUCUCUGCUUUUGGUGUGGACGUGAUGAUUUUAUCUCUUUCGAGCAAUGAUUCACUGUUAUCAAAGCGUCAAAAUUGAAGAUGCAUCCUGAAAGGGGUACCCUGAGGUGUGAGGUAAAAUAGAGGAGGAGGGCAUCACUGCCACGUUCACAUGACUGACCUCCAAACACUACCGAGAUUUGUGUCUUCUGUCUCUCGCCCCCGCCUUAUCUAUCGUAACGAACGAUGAAAACUCAAGAAACCCCUUAAAAUAAGAAUUUUUGGUCCUUUUAGAACACUCUCAAGACGUAUCAAUUAUGAAGCUAAAAAGCAAAGAGUACAUUUACACUAUGCUAAAAACACACCAUUUCUCGUUUGAGGCAUUUCGAAAUGUCUUCUAUUACUUGAUUUUAUCUCGGGAAAACCAACGAACAUCAUAGAAUGAAAAUGGAAAAUAUAUUCAGGCAUACAACGAGAAAUCGUGCAACAUUUUGCAAAUGUUCGUAGCUUGUUCUACAUGAUUCUCAUAGGCGGAUUGAGAAGGGUGCCCGGUGCCCUCAACUUAACCGUUAAUCGGAGGACCCAUGACUCAUCAGGGAGUGGAAGGUUCCGCCAAAAAGAAGAAAAAUUUCCAGUGAAAAUGAGUGAUAAACCAGCCCAAUCAAAGAAUCCUAUCAUUCUAAUUAUCCGUGGUUGAAAUCCAAGUUUGCUCAGUCAGAGAUACCCCGAGGUUGGAAAGCAAGUCUGAAAACAAAAGAGACGAAUAUUAUCUCAUCGAUUCUUUUCAGUUGAGAUCUUACUUCUGUCACCAUUCACUUAACUCUGCUUCGUUUCUAUCAAAAGAGGUAAAUCACAGUUUUGCAAAUUACAAUAUUAGUUUAAUACCGACCUUAAUACUCAUAGAUGUUUGUACUGUAUUGGUAGUUUGGAGAAAUGUGCGAGGUAAUUUAGUGAUUUCGGAAACUCAGAUCGUAUUUUUUCUAUUUUUCUUUGUGCCAGAUACCAAAGCACAGUUAACUUACAAAGCCAUGAGGAUUUUUGCUGUAUUUGAUACAUUUGUGCCAAGGGUUUGAUGUUCAAAACCAGUUGAAGUUAACAUAGAAGGAAGAGUUUUCCUCGAGGCAAAUUAUUAUUUCUUAGCUACAAGCACUCUGGUUUUUCUCUUCACAACAAACCUCAACCUUAACCUUCAACCCAGUAAUUAUACCUAUUCGUUCACAUGCACUUUUGCGAUUUAAAAAGCUUGCGAGUUCACCUAAUAUACUUUCGAUUUUUUCAAUCCAGCCGCGAGCGGAUAUAAUAAAAAAUUUCACACCACAAUCUGACAAUUGUGAUAAUCACCAGUGAUUGCACACGCUCCAGACUGACACCUACCCGCCAAUUACAUAGCUCCGCAUUUUCUCGUUCAUUCAGAGCAUGCCGAUGCCAUGAGAUAUAGCAGUAACCGUUGCCACCUCUUGCCGAGGCACAAGGAGAGCUCCGGUGAGCUGACAUUGAAAUCUAUCUGUUUAAUUUGUGACUGUGCAGAGGAAAAGAUCAGAGGAAAGUCAGUUUUUAAAAAAUGGAGAGUUUCAUAUUGAGAACAUUCCCUGCUAAAAAUUUUCCAUGGA
RNAcentral lists this long non-coding RNA (1773 nucleotides) under Bemisia tabaci. Its description in RNAcentral is "lncRNA ENSSSA2NGG000032". The record is from RNAcentral. Lineage: Eukaryota; Metazoa; Arthropoda; Insecta; Hemiptera; Aleyrodidae.